CCUUCUUUUUCUCUCUUUUUCCUUCUUUCCUUUUCUUCCCUCUCUCUUCUUCUUCUAUUUCCUUGAGAAGUUAAAUCUCCAGGGCUCAACCCGGAAACUGCUUUUCAUACUGGCCAGCUGGAGGGACGCAGGGGUGACUGGAAUUCCCGGUGUAGCGGUGAAAUGCAUUGAUAUCGGGAGGAACUCCAACAGCGAAGGCAGGUCACUGGGCUUUUCCUGACGCUGAGGCGCGAAAGCGUGGGUAGCAAACAG
RNAcentral lists this ribosomal RNA (252 nucleotides) under uncultured prokaryote. RNAcentral describes it as "partial 16S ribosomal RNA". The stretch from base 43 to 252 matches the Rfam family "Bacterial small subunit ribosomal RNA", at positions 567 to 775 of the family's 1533-position model. The record is from RNAcentral.